CGGACGGGUGAGUAAUGUCUGGGAAACUGCCCGAUGGAGGGGGAUAACUACUGGAAACGGUAGCUAAUACCGCAUAACGUCGCAAGACCAAAGAGGGGGACCUUCGGGCCUCUUGCCAUCGGAUGUGCCCAGAUGGGAUUAGCUAGUAGGUGGGGUAACGGCUCACCUAGGCGACGAUCCCUAGCUGGUCUGAGAGGAUGACCAGCCACACUGGAACUGAGACACGGUUCAG
RNAcentral lists this ribosomal RNA (232 nucleotides) under uncultured bacterium. RNAcentral's name for it is "partial 16S ribosomal RNA". It matches the Rfam family "Bacterial small subunit ribosomal RNA", at positions 99 to 334 of the family's 1533-position model. The record is from RNAcentral.